Molecule: ribosomal RNA, 491 nt
Filed under: uncultured bacterium
Lineage: Bacteria
Description: bacterial SSU rRNA
Rfam family: Bacterial small subunit ribosomal RNA
Source: RNAcentral
AGAACGCUAGCGGGAGGCUCUAAUACAUGCAAGCUCGAACGGUAACAUGGGUAGCAAUACCUGAUGACGAGUGGCGCACGGGUGCGUAACGCGUACACAAUCUGCCUUAUACUGGAGAAUACCCCCAAGAAAUUGGGAUUAACUCUCCAUAACGUUGCGAAAUGGCAUCAUUUUGCAACUAAAACUCCGGUGGUAUAAGAUGAGUGUGCGUCCGAUUAGGUAGUUGGUGGGGUAACGGCUCACCAAGCCAACGAUCGGUAGCUGGUCUGAGAGGACGAUCAGCCACACGGGCACUGAGACACGGGCCCGACUCCUACGGGAGGCAGCAGUAGGGAAUAUUGGACAAUGGGCGCAAGCCUGAUCCAGCCAUCCCGCGUGAAGGAUUAAGGUCCUAUGGAUUGUAAACUUCUUUUCUCUGGGAAUAAAAAGUGGGAUUUAUCCUGCCUUGAAGGUACCAGAGGAAUAAGCACCGGCUAACUCCGUGCCAGCAG